CACCAUCGAGAUCAUGGGCUUGAUAUGAAAGACUAUAUCCAGCUUUGGGUGAGAUCGAGGAGCUUAUUUGGAGAGGAAGACUAGAUCGCUUCAUCCACCAAAUAAGGGAGGGUCUAGUGCAACCCCCAAGAGCACCUUGACAUCAGGAAUAACCCCAUCAGGAACCCCUGGUGGAGAAUCAACUUGCGAUAGGCAUUAUUAAUGCCAUCACUGGGGGGC
Molecule: long non-coding RNA, 219 nt
Filed under: Elaeis guineensis (African oil palm)
Lineage: Eukaryota; Viridiplantae; Streptophyta; Magnoliopsida; Arecales; Arecaceae
Description: long non-coding RNA (EGUI_LNC067535)
Source: RNAcentral